RNAcentral lists this unclassified non-coding RNA (284 nucleotides) under plant metagenome. Its description in RNAcentral is "partial contains small subunit ribosomal RNA, internal transcribed spacer 1, and 5.8S ribosomal RNA". The stretch from base 1 to 53 matches the Rfam family "Eukaryotic small subunit ribosomal RNA", at positions 1778 to 1831 of the family's 1831-position model. The record is from RNAcentral.
GGAAGUAAAGUCGUAACAAGGUUUCCGUAGGUGAACCUGCGGAAGGAUCAUUAUUGUAUAACCGAGGUGCGAGGGCUGUCGCUGACCCGAAAGGUCGUGCACGCCCGAGUGCCCUCACACACAUCCAUCUCACCCCUAUGUGCACCACCGCGUGGGUCCCCCUUUGGCUUGUUCGGAGGGGGGCUUACGUUUUCACACAAACUUUGUAUGCAGGGUAGAAUGUAUUUUUUGUUUUUGCGAUCACGCAAUCAAUACAACUUUCAACAACGGAUCUCUUGGCUCUC